CCUACGGGUGGCAGCAGUGAGGAAUAUUGGUCAAUGGACGAGAGUCUGAACCAGCCAAGCAGCGUGAAGGAUGAAGGUCCUACGGAUUGUAAACUUCUUUUAUAAGGGAAUAAAACCUCCCACGUGUGGGAGCUUGUAUGUACCUUAUGAAUAAGCAUCGGCUAACUCCGUGCCAGCAGCCGCGGUAAUACGGAGGAUGCGAGCGUUAUCCGGAUUUAUUGGGUUUAAAGGGAGCGCAGACGGGUCGUUAAGUCAGCUGUGAAAGUUUGGGGCUCAACCUUAAAAUUGCAGUUGAUACUGGCGUCCUUGAGUGCGGUUGAGGUGUGCGGAAUUCGUGGUGUAGCGGUGAAAUGCUUAGAUAUCACGAAGAACUCCGAUUGCGAAGGCAGCACACUAAGCCGUAACUGACGUUCAUGCUCGAAAGUGUGGGUAUCAAACAGGAUUAGAUACCCCUGUAGUC
This 460-nucleotide ribosomal RNA is filed under the name Salmonella enterica subsp. enterica serovar Goldcoast. RNAcentral's name for it is "bacterial SSU rRNA". It matches the Rfam family "Bacterial small subunit ribosomal RNA", at positions 338 to 795 of the family's 1533-position model. The record is from RNAcentral. Lineage: Bacteria; Pseudomonadati; Pseudomonadota; Gammaproteobacteria; Enterobacterales; Enterobacteriaceae.